CCAGGGUUUUUGCCAUGGACUUCCCCAUCACCAGUUCGUGCUUUUCUCCUGCCAUGGGCAUGGCCAAAGACUUCAGUGCUCACCUCUGUUGCAUAUAGUUCAAUGCUCUUUGCCCUGGCAUAUCCUAUAGCCACGUAACGACACUGAUAUGUUUGUUGUUGUCAGUAUUUCCAUCCCAGAGGAUCACCCUUCAGCCUGGCAAUAUGGGGAGUCCUCCAAAAAAGAUGCAUGGAAGGACAGGCCCUGCACAGCUACACUGGCGCAGCCAUCAGUCAACCAUCCAGUCCAUCAUCCAGGUGCCUCAAUGCUGCACUCGGGAGCUCCCGUCCUCCAAAAUAUACCUCUUCUUUCCCAAAAUUCUGAUGCCUCGGCCUGACAAGCACUUCAUAUAUGAAACCUUAACACCACAGCCUGCUGUUAGGAAUGCACACACUACAUCCCAGGCUGGAGCAAGACCAGAAGGGUAGAGCUCAGGUGUUUUGGAACCAUCCCACAGGCAGCCCCUGGCGGCUUUCCAGCAUGCUCUUCCUUUAAGCGUGCUCAACUGUGCCUCUGGAGAAGACUGCUGAUCCAUCAGUUAAUCGUAUUGAAAGUUGCCAUCACACAGAGCAGAAUAGAUCCUUUCACUGCGAAACCUGCUGGGUCUGCACUAACAGGCUUCCCUGCCAAAGCAAACAUCGCUCCCACAGCCCCUCCGUGGUACGUGAGGAGUACAGUUUCAAACCUCCCCAGCUCGUACAAAGCUGGGCACCAAAUGCAAAACUGCAGCCAAUCCCUCAGCUGGUCCAGGCUGCCUCGAUUCCUUCGAAACCAGUGGAGCUCCACCACCAUGGUCUCACCGGGUUUCUGUCUCAACACCUCGCCUUCAGCCCUUCCAAGAAGACAAGCUGUGGCUGCGCUCACACGCUGCAGACAUCUCUUUUUUCCCCUCUCUUCUCCCCUUUCCCUUCUCCCCCCUGCAGCCAUCUCCUCGUUGUUCCCUAGGCCAAGGAGGCUCACACAGAGGGCAUUGUUUGUUACCCUUUACGGGGGGUGGAAAGCACUAAAUCAUGGGUUAGGAAAAUAAAGCUCUUACCCUGCAGCAACCUGAGGCAAGCAAUACUUCACCACUGAAACAGUAUGUGCAAUGGUGCAUUUUAACUGGAUUCCAGGGCACAGAAAUACUUGUUGGUCUCGAUCCUAAAUUAUAUUCACAUCCAAUAUCUUGGAUUUUCAUAUUAUUCAAACAUAAAACUGUCACCGUGUACAUUUGGGCUUUAAAUUAUGUAGAGAUGAUAUUUUAUUACAUAGAAUUUGUUUCACAUCUCUGUGGAAACCUGGCAGCCACCCCACCACUGAAGUCCAAAGGGGCAGUGAAAACUGCAGAACAAGCUGAGAAACAACCCAAGAAAACAAGCUACACAUGCUUUGUUAUCUAACUGCGUUCUUUAAUAUUGGAGGGAAAAAAUCCUAGGAGAAAGCAUGGUUAAAUAAAAACUGACCUUGAGUAAUUUGGACCA
Molecule: long non-coding RNA, 1499 nt
Filed under: Coturnix japonica (Japanese quail)
Lineage: Eukaryota; Metazoa; Chordata; Aves; Galliformes; Phasianidae
Description: lncRNA (ENSCJPG00005014886.1)
Source: RNAcentral